CAAUAGCGUAUAUUAAAGUUGUUGCAGUUAAAAAGCUCGUAGUUGGACUUGUGGUGGUCUUUGGGGUCCGAUUUCGGUACUCUCGGGGACUGCCAUCUUUGGGUGGAUCCUGUGUGGCAUUAGGUUGUCGUGCAGGGGAUGCCCAUCGUUUACUGUGAAAAAAUUAGAGUGUUCAAAGCAGGCUUAUGCCGUUGAAUAUAUUAGCAUGGAAUAAUGAGAUAGGACCUUGGUACUAUUUUGUUGGUUUGCGCACCGAGGUAAUGAUUAAUAGGGACAGUUGUGGGUAUUCGUAUUCCAUUGUCAGAGGUGAAAUUCUUGGAUUUCUGGAAGACGAACUAAUGCGAAAGCAUUUACCAAGGAUGUUUUCAUUAA
This 372-nucleotide ribosomal RNA is filed under the name uncultured eukaryote. RNAcentral's name for it is "partial 18S ribosomal RNA". It matches the Rfam family "Eukaryotic small subunit ribosomal RNA", at positions 592 to 976 of the family's 1831-position model. The record is from RNAcentral.